AACAGUUUCAAAUAAUUACAUAUACGACCUCAGCAACAAAUCAGUCACGCCACGAUCCCAGGAGCUAUAGCCGCACCUUACAAAUCAAUCACACCCCGAUUCCUCAGAUCACAAUCCCAGGAAAGGUGACGAAAAUCCCUCAGAUCACGAUCCCGGGAAAUUAGGUAAUCCCUCAAAUCACGGAUCCCAGUUAAGGCAAGAAGAAAUCCCUCAGAUCACGAUCCCAGUGAAGGCAAGAAGAAAUCCCUCAGAUCACGAUCCCGGUUAAGGCAAAAACAAAUCCCUCAGAUCACGAUCCCAGUGAAGG
Molecule: long non-coding RNA, 307 nt
Filed under: Brachypodium distachyon (stiff brome)
Lineage: Eukaryota; Viridiplantae; Streptophyta; Magnoliopsida; Poales; Poaceae
Description: long non-coding RNA (BDIS_LNC003406)
Source: RNAcentral